Molecule: long non-coding RNA, 302 nt
Organism: Mastomys coucha (southern multimammate mouse)
Lineage: Eukaryota; Metazoa; Chordata; Mammalia; Rodentia; Muridae
Exons: 3
Source: RefSeq, a predicted model, not a curated record
GCUUUGCAUUAAGUAAGUGCCCUUAAUCAGCUUUUCUGUUCAGUUUUAUUGGUUGCAUGCACAGUCAGUUAUUUCAUCCAGAAAAUCUGAAAGCCCUACAAACUAACCAGGUGAAAAGCAAACCAGCCUAAGUGCCCACUAACAAGAAAAUGGACAAAGAAAACAUGGCGGAGUAUCACAAUGGAAUAUUAUUCAAGUAUAAUGAGAAUGAAAUACUGUCAUUUGUAGCAAAAUGGAUAGAACUAUAGGACAUCAUGUUGAACCAGUGUCUCCAGAGCUCCCAGGGACUAAACCACCAACCA